This is a long non-coding RNA of Medicago truncatula (barrel medic), 3897 nucleotides long. RefSeq lists it as uncharacterized. The record is from RefSeq and is a predicted model, not a curated record. The transcript has 5 exons. NCBI's taxonomy places the organism in Eukaryota, Viridiplantae, Streptophyta, Magnoliopsida, Fabales, Fabaceae.
CACGCGUACAAACUAAGUUAAAAAAACACAAGAAAGACAUAACUGGCUGUGAGUACAACACGCACGCGUGGUUGAAACACAACAAACUUUGAAACAAACCAGAUCGCACGCUUCCUCCAUCUUCCAGAUCUGUUAAUAUCCUUAGUUGGGUUUUGGAUUGGACGCAAAGCUCCGGUGGUUGAAAUGGCCGGCGAUGCAUUUCAACUCCGAUGUCAGUCAGUGGUCAAAUAUGUAGAUUGAAAUUCUCUCACCAGGUCUUUGUCCGAGGACGUUUUAGUAUACCUUGCCCUAGUUCUAGAUGUUGCGACGGGCCCUAGUAAUCCGGAGUUCAGCCAGGCCCUAUUAAUCCCUAGUAAUCGAACUCAAAUUCAGGUUCUCUUUAAGAUUUGUUAUAGGGCGAGCUCAUUAACUACUUGUGUUCAAUCACUUGGUUUUGAAUAAUAUAACAUUAUAAACCAAGUUAUUUGAUCCAAAUAUGGUUUAUGAUAGAACACUAUGGGCUAUGGCGUACUUUGAUCCAUGUAGCCGACCCCACUUAGUAGGAUAAGGCUUGGUGGUUGUUGUAUUUAUUUAAUUUCUCCCAUAUUCAAACUAUACCAAAUGAAUAAAUGUCAAAAUAUUGACUUGAAUCUAUAUACUUUUUUUUAUAGAAUAAAUAUUCAUUGAUUAAAUUGUAAUUUACUUGAUAAUGAUACUUAUAGUUUAACUAGAAACAAACAUGACAAGUAUGUACCUUUUCUCUUGGCAUACAACCUAAAGCGCCGCCUUCCUUUUCCUGCCUUUGAUGUACACUGAUUUUAUUGCAUUAAAGGUGAAAUCAACACAAUAAAUUUGUGGUAGAAAAGAUAAUAGGAAAGAGAGGAUAUGAAAACGAUAAAAAAAACUUCACCCACAGCCCCUACAUACCAAAUUGGUGAAAAUAUUACUCACAUCUUUGCCUGUAGGCCUAGUCGUUUUGACUACCAAACUGAUGAACUGUUCAAACAAAGCAGCUCCAAAACUCAUGUUUAGAGCCAUAUAGACUAGACAAGCAAUCAUCUCCUCUUCAGUCGAUGGAUGAAAGUCGCCGAAGCCAACAGUUGUGUAUAUCGUUGUGACGAAAUACACGGAAGUGACAUAUCUCCUCCAUAACUCUAGCUUAAAAAUUUUUUCCCUUCCAUUGGUCCACGACAGCUGCGCGUCAACGUCUGCUGAAGCAAGUAGGUAAAAUAUGCAUGCCCACGCGUGUAUAUGAAGAAGGACAAGCUAUAUAAAUAUAGAUAUACUGUUAGUCUAUUUUCUGUCAAUAAAUCUUAUUCUAUUUUAAAAUUUGAUAAACAUAAUAUGCCAAAUACUUACACUCAUAAGCUUCACACACCGAAUCCAAAAGAAACAUAUUGGGUUUGGGGUUUCUUCCAUCCUGUACAAAAAAGAAAAUUUUAUCAUAAAAUAAACAAAAAUAAAAUAUUCAUAAAAAAUGGAAACACUCUCAUAGUGUACUGAUAUCCUAAAUUUGUAGAUACACAUCUAAGACCUUAAAUAUCAAAGUCCACAGUAUUAAAUUAAGACUUGGAUCUUUUAUUGGCAGUAUUGGAAAAUACACUCUUAACAUGUUUGUGACACAAAUCAUAAUCAAGAGUCUUUAAGGAGUAUUUAUCGUCGUGGUUUCAGAAGAGGGGAGACCGACAUUGUUUGGUCACGAUGGUGUGGUGCGUAUCUCAUUUGGUGAUGACCACAUAAGAUACAAUUCUCUCUCUUUCUUUUGUAUGAGUAACAUACUGAAAAAUUAACUGGGGUAAGACUUGACGACGGCUGAACUGCCCAUAAAAAAAGGACUUUGAGCCUUGCUCUGGAUACAAUGUUCAACAGUUUAGAAUGACUUUGUAUUUCACAAUGUAAAAUUCAUAAAGUUCAUAGAAGAUUUCUAACCACCUUUUUUUUUAUCAAUAUCUGAUUCUCACUGAAUGAAUAGAAACAUUUACAAGUAGCUUUAUAUAGCAAUAAAACCCCAAAUUAUAAAGCUCAACUUUAUAAGCCCCCACCAAGAACACUAUAUUUUAGACCUCCUUGUGGAGAUAAUAUUUUAAGCCCUAACCCACUAUUUUUCUACUUAUUUGCAGGAUUAGUGUGAAAGGCUUUGAGGCCCACUUAUGUAUUAUUAUUGAAAGAAAAAAAACAUAAAGCAAUUGUUUUAAAUUUUUUUAUGAUUAAUUAAAAUUAUAAAUUUAUCACAGCACUGUCUAGAUAUCAGACCACCGUCGGUCUGCCGCCAUGAGUCAUCGGUGCUCCAGCUUUCACCGGUGCCCUGUCAGUUUUUUUCUUUUGAAAAAUAAUAUUUUUUAAACUUUUUUUUGACUAAAAGUGUCUAGUUAGCUUAGCUUAGUUAUUAGUGUAUCCCAACUAUGUACGGUGACCGACACAUGUCAGUUUUGUAAAAUACAUAACAUCCCUCAUACACAAUGAUGUUGGGUAAACUUGUAUACAUAACAUCAUUGUAAAAUACUAUAACUAAGCUGUGAUAACUGUACACUUUUUGUAAAAAAAAAGGUUAUUUACUUAUCUCUAAUUCUCUCUUGGAAACUUAUUUAUUUAUUUUUUUGAAAGAAAAGAAUUGGAUUAGUUGUUAAGGUCAGAUACUAAUUGGGCCUUGGCAGCCGUUGGUAAAUCCUCUAUCCAAAUUCUAUCAGGUUCAACAUAAGCAUGUUGAGACAAAACAGGGUCAAGAUCCUCUCCAUUUAUAACUUUUUCCAUUUGUUGCAAUUUGGAGAGAGAUAGACACAUAUAAAAUAAUGAUGGUGGGAUCCACUUAGUGAUAGGACCCACCACUUAUUUUUUUGUGUCUAUCUCUCUUCAAAUUGCAACAAAUGGAAAAAGUUAUAAAUGGAGAGGAUCUUUACCCGACAAAACAUGGGCCAGUUUGUUGCUAAACCUACCUGUAUGACUAAAAGUGGCCAUUUCAAACAAGGAUAAUCUACAUUUAAUGCCAAACACGAUGUUACCAACAUAUGUUUUGGGAAUAUCAAGGGUUCCUCUCAUGAUUUUCAUCAAAGUUUCACUAUCUCCUUCAAAUUCCACUCUCUGAAAGCGUCAUUCCACCGCGAGGUUCACUUAUAGAGAGCCACUGCUUCCGCCCGUUAGACUUCCAUGUCGCCGAUGCCAGGAUCUCACCGUCAUCAUCAAACGAGCAACAGCCCCCAUACCCCAGGGUUAUUAAGUAAACGAGCAUUACUGUGGUUUUGGUGCAGAUUCGAGAUCUGAUUGGUAGCCUUUUUGAAGUUAGUGAUGCUGAGAUCUGCUUGGUGUAUUGUCAUCUCCUCCGGUGCUUUUCUCCACCGCUGCAAAGACUCCGCCUACGCCACACCGAAGCACCGUGAACAACCAAUACUGAUUCUCACACUCCACAGGUACCAGAAGAAUGAGUCCUAUUUCCAGUCCUCCUAUAUCUAGCAAUGAAUACUCAAGGACCCAAAAUGGCAUCUUGCAAUGAAUACUGAAUAUGAUACCUUACUAGCAAAUAAUACUUGGUCUCUAGUCUCCUAAUAGGCAAGCUAUAGAUUGCAAGUUGGUUUUCGGGGUCAAGGAGAAUCCUUAUGGGAGUAUUAAUAAGUAUAAAGCAUGUCUGGUUGCAAAGAGGUUCCAUAAAAAGUUGUGAAACUAGUAACUGUGAGGAUUGUUCUCACUCUUACAGUGACGAAGAAUUGGGCAAUUCAACAACUAAAACAUCAACAAUGCUUAAUGAAGUUUAUAUGAUUCAGCCACGGCUUUGAAUCAAGUAAUAAUUCACUUGUUUGUACGCUACACAAAGCUCUCAAUAGGCUCAAACAGGCUCUGCAUAGCGUGGUUUGAAAGACUAAAGGCUGAAUUACUUAAAUUUGGUUUUAAAUAAAGCAAAUGUAAUCCAUCUCUCUUUAAUCUUCA